CCUACGGGCGGCAGCAGUAGGGAAUAUUGCUCAAUGGGGGAAACCCUGAACCAGCAACGCCGCGUGGAGGAUGAAGGUUUUCGGAUUGUAAACCCCUUUUGGUAGAGAAGAUAAUGACGGUAUCUAACGAAUAAGCACCGGCUAACUCCGUGCCAGCAGCCGCGGUACUACGGAGGGUGCAAGCGUUACACGGAAUCACUGGGCGUCAAGAGCGCGUAGGCGGGACAGCAAGUCAGAUGUGAAAUCCUAUGGCUUAACCAUAGAACUGCUUUUGAAACUGUUAUUCUAGAGGCUGGGAGAGGUAGGUGGAAUUCUUGGUGUAGGGGUAAAAUCCGUAGAGAUCAAGAGGAAUAC
RNAcentral lists this ribosomal RNA (354 nucleotides) under uncultured bacterium. RNAcentral describes it as "partial 16S ribosomal RNA". It matches the Rfam family "Bacterial small subunit ribosomal RNA", at positions 338 to 709 of the family's 1533-position model. The record is from RNAcentral.